This 1363-nucleotide ribosomal RNA is filed under the name Bacteroidetes bacterium CH1i. RNAcentral describes it as "16S ribosomal RNA". It matches the Rfam family "Bacterial small subunit ribosomal RNA", at positions 63 to 1435 of the family's 1533-position model. Lineage: Bacteria; Pseudomonadati; Bacteroidota. The record is from RNAcentral.
CGAGCGGUAUUUAUUCUUCGGAAUAUUGAGAGCGGCGUACGGGUGCGUAACACGUGUGCAACCUACCUUUAUCAGGGGAAUAGCCUUUCGAAAGGAAGAUUAAUACUCCAUAAUAUAUAGACAGGCAUCUGCUUAUAUUGAAAACUCCGGUGGAUAGAGAUGGGCACGCGCAAGAUUAGAUAGUUGGUGAGGUAACGGCUCACCAAGUCAUUGAUCUUUAGGGGUCCUGAGAGGGAGAUCCCCCACACUGGUACUGAGACACGGACCAGACUCCUACGGGAGGCAGCAGUGAGGAAUAUUGGACAAUGGGUGAGAGCCUGAUCCAGCCAUCCCGCGUGAAGGAUGACGGUCCUACGGAUUGUAAACUUCUUUUGUACAGGGAUAAACCCAGAUACGUGUAUCUGGCUGAAGGUACUGUACGAAUAAGCACCGGCUAACUCCGUGCCAGCAGCCGCGGUAAUACGGAGGGUGCGAGCGUUAUCCGGGAUUUAUUGGGUUUAAAGGGUCCGCAGGCGGACCAAUAAGUCAGUGGUGAAAUCUCAUAGCUUAACUAUGAAACUGCCGUUGAUACUGUUGGUCUUGAGUAAAUUAGAGGUAGCUGGAAUAAGUAGUGUAGCGGUGAAAUGCAUAGAUAUUACUUAGAACACCAAUUGCGAAGGCAGGUUACCAUAAUUUAACUGACGCUGAGGGACGAAAGCGUGGGGAGCGAACAGGAUUAGAUACCCUGGUAGUCCACGCCGUAAACGAUGCUAACUCGUUUUUGGAUUUUCGGAUUCAGAGACCAAGCGAAAGUGAUAAGUUAGCCACCUGGGGAGUACGUUCGCAAGAAUGAAACUCAAAGGAAUUGACGGGGGCCCGCACAAGCGGUGGAUUAUGUGGUUUAAUUCGAUGAUACGCGAGGAACCUUACCAAGACUUAAAUGGGAAUUGACAGGUUUAGAAAUAGACUCUCCUUCGGGCAAUUUUCAAGGUGCUGCAUGGUUGUCGUCAGCUCGUGCCGUGAGGUGUAGGUUAAGUCCUGCAACGAGCGCAACCCCUGUCACUAGUUGCUAACAUUUAGUUGAGGACUCUAGUGAGACUGCCUACGCAAGUAGAGAGGAAGGUGGGGAUGACGUCAAAUCAUCACGGCCCUUACGUCUUGGGCCACACACGUAAUACAAUGGCCGGUACAGAGGGCAGCUACCAGCGAUGUGAUGCAAAUCUCGAAAGCCGGUCUCAGUUCGGAUUGGAGUCUGCAACUCGACUCUAUGAAGCUGGAAUCGCUAGUAAUCGCGCAUCAGCCAUGGCGCGGUGAAUACGUUCCCGGGCCUUGUACACACCGCCCGUCAAGCCAUGGAAGUUUGGGGUACCUGAAGUCGGUGACC